UAUGAAUUCUGGGUAACAGCGUUGACAGUUUGUGGUGAAAGCAACAGGAGUUUAACAGAAAAAGUGGAAACAAAAGCGGACAAGCCUCGUAUUGAACAUCAAGUAACUCCUUUGAUUCUUAAAGACAGCUUUAACGUCACAUUAUGGACAUUCAAACCACACAAUGGACCAAUUAGCUUGUACCAGG
RNA transcript from Exaiptasia diaphana, 187 nucleotides. RefSeq lists it as uncharacterized. The record is from RefSeq and is a predicted model, not a curated record. The transcript is spliced from 3 exons. Lineage: Eukaryota; Metazoa; Cnidaria; Anthozoa; Actiniaria; Aiptasiidae.